Molecule: long non-coding RNA, 2022 nt
Organism: Panicum virgatum (switchgrass)
Lineage: Eukaryota; Viridiplantae; Streptophyta; Magnoliopsida; Poales; Poaceae
Exons: 4
Source: RefSeq, a predicted model, not a curated record
GCGCAGCAAUUAGUGAAGACUUGGGGCAGGUUGAAUAUAUUUUGACAAAUAAUGGGAACAUUGACUGAUAAUAAGAUGAUCUUCAGAAGGUGUUGUGUGAACCAGCCCACUCACUCUUCAGAGACCUUUGGAGAGGAUUAAUUUCAGGGGAUGAUGCAAACCAUUGAUCUAGGAGCAUCAUACUGUAAUUUGGAUGCCGCGGGAUAAUAAGGUGUAGUGGAGUACAUGAAUGUGAAUUAACUACUUCAGACAACACCUUGGCAAGUCACCUUCUAUGGUUGCAGGUUCUGAUAGUUCAGUUUAUCUACCUUGUGCCGAUUGAUUGGAUAUGUUGGAUGUAAUACAUGCUCACAUCUCACGUCAUCUAAUUGUCCCAUGAAAUUUUGAUGAAUUUCGUAAUUGCUGUUAUGUGCUUGUAAUCAUUUCAUUUUGGCAUGAGUACAAAUGGAUGCGUUGUCCCUUUUGCAAUUAUGCCAUGGCCACUGGUGAAGCAGGUAUGCACUCUACAAAUGAUUAUGCGCUGAUGGAAACUGAAUCUGUUGUAUAAGAGGCAUGCACUCUCCUAAACUUUGUAAAUGCAUUUUUGUUACCGUUAAAUAAUAUGGAAUUGUUGGUCCUGCAUAUGACAUCAAUUUACCACAUAAUUUUUGUGUUCUUCAUUACUACAAUACUUUACCUCCAUAUAAUUUGUAAAAAUUUGGAGACAUCCAGAUAUCUCUUAAGUCAAAAAAUUUACUUCAGUAUCUAUAUAUGAUACCUCUUCAUGGGAAAAAUUACUUUACUAUUUAUGUGCUUGUUUACUAACAGGCAUUGGUGAGUUUCUAUUUGAUACCUCUUCAGUAUCUCAAUAUUUCAAGUAAUAUUGAGAGCUGCUCAUCACAUCGUAAUUUCGAAUCAUUUCUUUUGGGCUUCCUGUUUCUUUUCUUUCUGGGAACAGUUUUGGACCGUAUUUUGCACCCAUAAAUCCCACCUCCGAUUCACUUACAUCCUUUCUUGUUCAAUAAUUUGAAACAACAAUUUGGUAUUUUUCCUUCAGAAACUGAAUUUCAAAAUAUUUUGUUUCCCAUUUUGCCUUCUCAAAUUGCUCCCCUAUGAUUGGUUGCGGCCAAAGCUAGUGGGUAUCUUUAACAACUCUGUUUUCUCCAACCUCAUAUGCAUUCUGCAGCUUUGACAUUACGGUGUAGAAUAGGACAAAGGACAAGUGUGAUUCUAUCCUCAGCCAUGGUGCCAAGGCAGCAAGGACAUUGUGCGCCCUCCAGUUUGGUCAAAUUAGCAUUUUGUCUUAUGGAAUUCUCAAUGAUUUCGAUGCAGUGCAGUUCUUUCUUUCUGAUUGUUCAAUCUUGCUGUUCAAAACUAAUGUACCGUUAUAGUAAGAUGACAAAGAACCUUAAUGAUAUUCCUAAGUUUUAUGUCCCCAUGGUGAUUGCAUUGAUUAAAUGAAAGUAAGGUUGAUUGUAUGAGAAUAAAAUUCAUAGUGUCCUUCUAUUCCAUUCUAAAUACAAGCCCAAUCUCAGCUCUCUAUCACCUCGGUGUUAUGAUCUUGGGCUUAGCGUUCUUCAAAGAUUUUGUUCCUCAGAGGCCACAAGUGGAGAGGGGAAGAAACUUCCAGUUGACUGAGGAAGAUUUGUUUCGUGCUUCCCGAGCUGUGCUUCAUGCGACACGCACGUGUAUAAAAAAUAUUUAUAAUAUAAAAAUUAUAAUCGGUUUUGAUAAGACCCAUGUUGUAUUGCGUGCUACAACUCUUGACAAAGCAACAUACAGUUGUCUAGGUGUGUUAUUGACAGUCAUUGCAAAAAUUAAUCUAAUUGGAAAUUGUUUCCUCAAAAAUCUUAAUGAAAGUAUAAUAUCCUCUGACAUUUCCUCGUCUGGUGUGAUUAUGGGAUGAUAAAAGCCCAGAACAGGCGACCACUUCUGAGCAAGUAAGUUUUCUGCUGCAUGCUAUUUUCAAUGGGUUGGUGUUUUAUUAUAAUGUUACAUACUGACUGUCCAAAUUUUGGAGGUUGCUGACAUGUACCGUGCUAA